Molecule: ribosomal RNA, 332 nt
Filed under: uncultured eukaryote
Lineage: Eukaryota
Description: partial 18S ribosomal RNA
Rfam family: Eukaryotic small subunit ribosomal RNA
Source: RNAcentral
CCCUUAGAUGUCCUGGGCCGCACGCGUGCUACACUGACGCAUACAGCUAGCACUUUCCAGUUCCGAGAGGCUACUGGUAAUCAUCAAUAUGCGUCGUGAUGGGGAUAGAUCUUUGGAAUUCUGGAUCUUGAACGAGGAAUGCCUAGUAAUCGCAGGUCAUUAGCCUGCGAUGAUUAAGUCCCUGCCCUUUGUACACACCGCCCGUCGCUACUACCGAUUGGAUGGUUUAGUGAGGCCCUCGGAUCGGCCCCGCCGGGGUCGGCCCACGGCCCUGGCGGAGCGCUGAGAAGACGGUCGAACUUGACUAUCUAGAGGAAGUAAAAGUCGUAACA